This 497-nucleotide ribosomal RNA is filed under the name uncultured bacterium. Its description in RNAcentral is "partial 16S ribosomal RNA". It matches the Rfam family "Bacterial small subunit ribosomal RNA", at positions 28 to 507 of the family's 1533-position model. The record is from RNAcentral.
GAUGAACGCUGGCGGCGUGCCUAAUACAUGCAAGUCGAGCGAACAGACGAGGAGCUUGCUCCUCUGACGUUAGCGGCGGACGGGUGAGUAACACGUGGAUAACCUACCUAUAAGACUGGGAUAAAUUCGGGAAACCGGAGCUAAUACCGGAUAAUAUAUUGAACCGCAUGGUUCAAUAGUGAAAGACGGUUUUGCUGUCACUUAUAGAUGGAUCCGCGCCGCAUUAGCUAGUUGGUAAGGUAACGGCUUACCAAGGCAACGAUGCGUAGCCGACCUGAGAGGGUGAUCGGCCACACUGGAACUGAGACACGGUCCAGACUCCUACGGGAGGCAGCAGUAGGGAAUCUUCCGCAAUGGGCGAAAGCCUGACGGAGCAACGCCGCGUGAGUGAUGAAGGUCUUCGGAUCGUAAAACUCUGUUAUUAGGGAAGAACAAAUGUGUAAGUAACUAUGCACGUCUUAACGGUACCUAAUCAGAAAGCCACGGCUAACUACGUG